UCCCUCAGUAACGGCGAGUGAAGCGGGAAGAGCUCAAGCUUAAAAUCUCCACGCAAGUGGCGAAUUGUAGUCUAUUGAGGCUGUUGUCAGCAUAGCGACCUGAGACAAGUCCCUUGGAAGAGGGCAGCAUGGAGGGUGAUACUCCCGUCUCUGCUCAGGUUGUCUGUGUGUACGAUACGCUUUCUUUGAGUCGAGUUGUUUGGGAAUACAGCUCAAAGUAGGUGGUAAAUUCCAUCUAAAGCUAAAUAUUGGUGCGAGACCGAUAGCGAACAAGUACCGUGAGGGAAAGAUGAAAAGAACUUUGAAAAGAGAGUUAAAGAGUACCUGAAACUGUUGAAAGGGAACCGUAUCGUUUCUAGUGUUUAUCCUAUGCAUAUUUCAUUGGCGGUUGCAAAAUUGCUGGUGCCCUGUGCAUGGGUGUGACGUCAGAGUCAGUUUAAAUUGCGGGAGAUGGGUAGUGAGGAGGUGCGUCACAUUUGUGAAAGUUACAGCUCGCUGCCUAGUAGCCGUGGUUAAGACUGAGGUGCCUACAACAUGCCCUGGGGUCUGGUGUUGUCUCGUUUUAUGUACUGCUUGGAUAGCUUGCUAUGUUGGCGGUGCCUGAGGCGAUUGAUAGUAUUAGUAACCUCUGCUGUUCGGGACUCUGGC
RNAcentral lists this ribosomal RNA (648 nucleotides) under Aphanomyces stellatus. RNAcentral's name for it is "LSU rRNA". It matches the Rfam family "Eukaryotic large subunit ribosomal RNA", at positions 76 to 630 of the family's 3401-position model. The record is from RNAcentral. Lineage: Eukaryota; Oomycota; Saprolegniomycetes; Saprolegniales; Verrucalvaceae.